This is a non-coding RNA of Nothobranchius furzeri (turquoise killifish), 924 nucleotides long. NCBI's taxonomy places the organism in Eukaryota, Metazoa, Chordata, Actinopteri, Cyprinodontiformes, Nothobranchiidae. The record is from the annotation of a RefSeq genome assembly.
ACAACAGAAGACUUGGAAAUCCUCCUGAUCAAAACCAUGACUUUGAUCUGCGUCCUCAUCUGGACUCUCCUCUGCUUCACUCAGGGGUCUGAUGGACAACAUGUUGUGACUCAGCCAGCAGCCAGAUCAGUGCAGCUUGGUCAGACCGUCUCUGUGGACUGUAAAGUCAGUCCACCAGCAGCCUUUGCUGGUUUUCAACACUUCCGGUAUCUUUCCUGGUACCAUCAGACACCUGGAGAAGCUCCUAAACUCCUGAUUUAUUUAACAUCAAGCAGAUUUUCAGGAAUCUCCUCCAGAUUCAGUGGAAGUGGAUCAGGGAAUGGAGCUGACUUCACUCUGACCAUCAGUGGAGUUCAGGCUGAAGAUGCAGGAGUUUAUUACUGUCAGAGUUACCACUAUGGCGGUGUGUUCACACAGUGAAAAAGCAUCGUACAAAAACCUCUUUCAGUCUGACUGAACAGAAACUGAUGCAGCUCACUGAACACACUCAGGUUUUCAGGCCAUGAUGAAUUAAACUUUGUUCCUAAAUAAUCAGAAGUUUUAGAAAAAAAAGGUUUCAAAUAUUACAAUAGAAAUUAUCUUUUGUGAUGAUUAUCUUAACACCAACAACAUUUUCCAAUAAUUAUUUGCCACUUAAAAUCAGAGAAUCAGAGAAUCAGAGAGAAUUUUAUUGCCAGCGCUCCAGCGAAGCAGAGCAUAGGAACUUGACUCCACAGAACAGCCUGACCAAGGUUACACACACACACAUAUAGACAGAACAGAUACAGGCAGAUCAGGAGAGCAGCCAUAACGGCGCUCAUUUCAGUAGAUGAAGAGGGGAUUACAUGAGGAGAAUUAGGGGAGGGAAAAAAAGGCAGAGCAGAGUUACACCUGGCAGGGAGUAGCUCUACUAUGCAAAAAUAAAACACCCCAACAUGUAAGCAC